UCUUGCUUCCGCCCAAAGAUCGGAUCUUUGCUUCCGCCCAAAGAUCGGAUCUUUGCUUCCGCCCAAAGAUCAGAUCUUUGCUUCCGCCUCCGCUCUGGAAUCUAAAGUAUCUUCUCUUUGUCCAUGGCGGCGUCCACAUCUACUAGUCCUGUGGUAAAUUGUUCCCAUCGUCAAUGUAGGCGACCCGACUUGUCUUUCUCCAGGUUCCCCAUUAAGGAGGAAAGAUGUCGACAGUGUGUCCAGAAUACUCGCCGACAUGAUCUCCUACACUGAACUGCGGAGUAUUUGUCAAAUAACUGCCAUCUUACGUACAUUGUGUGAAAUUGUGAUUUGUUAGCUGCACAAAACAAUGCAAAUGACGAUUUAUUUAUUAUUGUAUCUACGUUGGACGUUUGCUCUUUGGUGUAAGCAGGAGUGGGGCUAUCAUUGUGUUACAUACAUUGAAUUGUACAUCACUUUCACUGGUUAGCUAAUAUGCUGAUCACUGCAACCCUGUAUCUUUCGCACACAGAAUAAUGUGAAUUAUGUAAAUCUUACUAUGCAUGUCAGAAAUAAAGUGUUAACCAUGUUAA
This is a long non-coding RNA of Leucoraja erinaceus (little skate), 572 nucleotides long. RefSeq lists it as uncharacterized. The transcript is spliced from 2 exons. NCBI's taxonomy places the organism in Eukaryota, Metazoa, Chordata, Chondrichthyes, Rajiformes, Rajidae. The record is from RefSeq and is a predicted model, not a curated record.